GACGAACGCUGGCGGCGUGCUUAACACAUGCAAGUCGAACGGAAAGGCCCUGCUUUUGUGGGGUGCUCGAGUGGCGAACGGGUGAGUAACACGUGAGUAACCUGCCCUUGACUUUGGGAUAACUUCAGGAAACUGGGGCUAAUACCGGAUAGGAGCUCCUGCUGCAUGGUGGGGGUUGGAAAGUUUCGGCGGUUGGGGAUGGACUCGCGGCUUAUCAGCUUGUUGGUGGGGUAGUGGCUUACCAAGGCUUUGACGGGUCGCCGGCCUGGGAGGGUGACCGGCAACAUGGGGACUGAGAUACGGCCCAGACUCCUACGGGGGGAAGCAGUGGGGAAUAUUGCACAAUGGGCGGAAGCCUGAUGCAGCAACGCCGCGGGCGGGAUGACGGCCUUCGGGUGGUAAACCGCUUUCGCCUGUGACGAAGCGUGAGUGACGGUAAUGGGUAAAGAAGCACCGGCUAACUACGUG
Molecule: ribosomal RNA, 468 nt
Filed under: uncultured bacterium
Lineage: Bacteria
Description: partial 16S ribosomal RNA
Rfam family: Bacterial small subunit ribosomal RNA
Source: RNAcentral